Molecule: long non-coding RNA, 542 nt
Organism: Dreissena polymorpha
Lineage: Eukaryota; Metazoa; Mollusca; Bivalvia; Myida; Dreissenidae
Exons: 3
Source: RefSeq, a predicted model, not a curated record
UAACCAAUCCAAUUUAACACACAGGUAACCAAUCCAAUUUAACGCACAGGUAACCAAUCCAAUUUAACGCACAGGUAACCAAUCCAAUUUAAGGCACAGGUAACCAAUCCAAUUUAACGCACAGGUAACCAAUCCAAUUUAACACACAGGUAACCAAUCCAAUUUAACACACAGGUAACCAAUCCAAUUUAACGCACAGGUAACCAAUCCAAUUUAACGCACAGGUAACCAAUCCAAUUUAACACACAGGUAACCAAUCCAAUUUAACACACAGGUAACCAAUCCAAUUUAACGCACAGGUAACCAAUCCAAUUUAACGCACAGGUAACCAAUCCAAUUUAACACACAGGUAACCAAUCCAAUUUAACGCACAGGUAACCAAUCCAAUUUAACACACAGGUAACAAAUCCAAUUUAACGCACAGGUAACCAAUCCAAUUUAACGCACAGGUAACCAAUCCAAUUUAACACACAGGUAACCAAUCCAAUUUAACACACAGGUAACCAAUCCAAUUUCAAUGUCAGAGCAUGUAUGCAGAAUGU